AGCCAGCAUGGCAUAAUGGUUUGAGUAUUGGACUACAAAUCUGGAGACCAGGGUUCAAUUCCCAGCUCGGCUA
RNAcentral lists this transfer RNA (73 nucleotides) under Phrynosoma platyrhinos (Desert horned lizard). RNAcentral describes it as "tRNA-OTHER". The record is from RNAcentral. Lineage: Eukaryota; Metazoa; Chordata; Lepidosauria; Squamata; Phrynosomatidae.